Molecule: long non-coding RNA, 471 nt
Organism: Varroa destructor (honeybee mite)
Lineage: Eukaryota; Metazoa; Arthropoda; Arachnida; Mesostigmata; Varroidae
Source: RefSeq, a predicted model, not a curated record
AUUGAAGCCACUUUGCACCGACUAUUCAUACAACCUUCGCACCUAAGGAUAAAUUCCGCGUCCUUUACCCACUAGUGCAUUAGCAACAAACGAAGACAAAUAAGUACCCUCUAGGCAAGGAUGUCGCUGGUGCCUAUAACGGAAUGGCCAUGUCGCGUGUGUCUGCGUCGUUCAUCAUCGCGUAUGAUCUGUGACCACGAGUAAUCCAUUUGUCGCACGUGAAACCGCACCUGGCAGCGACAUUGCGUAGAAAUGGUUGAGAAAGGAAUGGAUUGGAGAAGAAAUAAAGAAAAUGGAACGAGGUGUUUUUGUAGGAGAAACAUCAAUGAUUUACCCUGUCGUGGCCGGUUUACGCUUCAGAAACUAAGAGUUGUGAACUAGGUCAUGCAAAUUGCUACAAGCAAUCAUAGUACUAUGAAUGGCACCUUGCAAUAGAAAUAAUAAAUUAGAUUUUGUUCUUAAAAAUGCCUA